GCCCCCAUAGCUCAGAGGAUAGAGCGCUGCCCUCCGGAGGCAGAGACCCGCGUUCGAGUCGCGGUGGGGGUG
RNAcentral lists this transfer RNA (72 nucleotides) under Anaerolineales bacterium. RNAcentral's name for it is "tRNA-Arg". It matches the Rfam family "tRNA". From Rfam's summary of the family: Transfer RNA (tRNA) molecules are approximately 80 nucleotides in length. Their secondary structure includes four short double-helical elements and three loops (D, anti-codon, and T loops). Further hydrogen bonds mediate the characteristic L-shaped molecular structure. tRNAs have two regions of fundamental functional importance: the anti-codon, which is responsible for specific mRNA codon recognition, and the 3' end, to which the tRNAs corresponding amino acid is attached (by aminoacyl-tRNA synthetases). tRNAs cope with the degeneracy of the genetic code in two manners: having more than one tRNA (with a specific anti-codon) for a particular amino acid; and 'wobble' base-pairing, i.e. permitting non-standard base-pairing at the 3rd anti-codon position. Lineage: Bacteria; Bacillati; Chloroflexota; Anaerolineae; Anaerolineales. The record is from RNAcentral.